Molecule: small nucleolar RNA, 135 nt
Organism: Cyprinodon variegatus (sheepshead minnow)
Lineage: Eukaryota; Metazoa; Chordata; Actinopteri; Cyprinodontiformes; Cyprinodontidae
Source: Ensembl
GGUGUGGGGAUGAUCCGCGCAGGGGUACGGACCUCAGCCAGUGAUGGGGGCUGAGCUCUGCUGCAGGAACUGAUCAGGAACAUGUGGUUCUGUCAGGAUCGGCAGCAGAGCGACACAGACGCCCGUCUGAACACG